UAAAAAUAUUUAGAGUGAAACAUUGCAGUCACAGUCCAUGAAUUGUUAAAAUUUAUUACAGUUAUUCCUAAUUGACAUUUAAAAUGCUUUCAAGAUUAUAUUAUGAUGCUACCUUGAAAUAAGAAUUUAAUGUGUGUUCAGAAAAACGUAAAAACAGAGUGGCAAUGUGGAUUUCGAUAUUAGUGAGGUAAACAUUUGUUCAUUAGAGAAAUGACUGCAUUCCUAUAUUUCCUUGCAGAACAAAUUUUGAACAAAGUGAAGCAUAUAUUCUGUUUAUACAGGUAUCCCUCAGUUUAUGCACUCUCAAUUAAUGAAUUUUCAAUUUUAACAGACUGCACAAAUAUAUAUCAUUUUUCAUUUUAUAAAGGAAAAUUUUUUCUUUUAAAAAGAAACUAUUUUAUCAAUGAUCAAUUAUCUACUAUAAUUUAUUUAAAUCAAUAAUUUUCUUAUUUUCUUUAUUGAUUAU
RNAcentral lists this long non-coding RNA (466 nucleotides) under Androctonus crassicauda. Lineage: Eukaryota; Metazoa; Arthropoda; Arachnida; Scorpiones; Buthidae. The record is from RNAcentral.